UUGUGUGCCAGCAGCCGCGGUAAUACGUAUGGUGCAAGCGUUAUCCGGAUUUACUGGGUGUAAAGGGAGCGCAGGCGGUGCGGCAAGUCUGAUGUGAAAGCCCGGGGCUCAACCCCGGUACUGCAUUGGAAACUGUCGUACUAGAGUGUCGGAGGGGUAAGUGGAAUUCCUAGUGUAGCGGUGAAAUGCGUAGAUAUUAGGAGGAACACCAGUGGCGAAGGCGGCUUACUGGACGAUAACUGACGCUGAGGCUCGAAAGCGUGGGGAGCAAACAGG
RNAcentral lists this ribosomal RNA (276 nucleotides) under Roseburia faecis M72/1. RNAcentral describes it as "partial 16S ribosomal RNA". It matches the Rfam family "Bacterial small subunit ribosomal RNA", at positions 501 to 776 of the family's 1533-position model. The record is from RNAcentral. Lineage: Bacteria; Bacillati; Bacillota; Clostridia; Lachnospirales; Lachnospiraceae.